This 492-nucleotide ribosomal RNA is filed under the name uncultured bacterium. Its description in RNAcentral is "partial 16S ribosomal RNA". It matches the Rfam family "Bacterial small subunit ribosomal RNA", at positions 28 to 507 of the family's 1533-position model. The record is from RNAcentral.
GAUGAACGCUAGCUACAGGCUUAACACAUGCAAGUCGAGGGGAAACGACAUCGAAAGCUUGCUUUUGAUGGGCGUCGACCGGCGCACGGGUGAGUAACGCGUAUCCAACCUGCCCAUCACUUGGGAAUAACCUUGCGAAAGUAAGACUAAUACCCAAUGAUAUCCCACGAAGGCAUCGGAAUGGGAUUAAAGAUUUAUCGGUGAUGGAUGGGGAUGCGUCUGAUUAGCUUGUUGGCGGGGUAACGGCCCACCAAGGCAACGAUCAGUAGGGGUUCUGAGAGGAAGGUCCCCCACAUUGGAACUGAGACAUGGUCCAAACUCCUACGGGAGGCAGCAGUGAGGAAUAUUGAUCAAUGGGCGAGAGCCUGAACCAGCCAAGUAGCGUGCAGGAAGACGGCCCUAUGGGUUGUAAACUGCUUUUAUAAGGGAAUAAAGUGGGUCACGUGUGACUUUUUGCAUGUACCUUAUGAAUAAGGACCGGCUAAUUCCGUG